This 492-nucleotide ribosomal RNA is filed under the name uncultured bacterium. RNAcentral's name for it is "partial 16S ribosomal RNA". It matches the Rfam family "Bacterial small subunit ribosomal RNA", at positions 29 to 507 of the family's 1533-position model. The record is from RNAcentral.
AGUGAACGCUGGCGGUAGGCCUAACACAUGCAAGUCGAACGGCAGCACAGUAAGAGCUUGCUCUUACGGGUGGCGAGUGGCGGACGGGUGAGGAAUACAUAGGAAUCUACUUUUUCGUGGGGGAUAACGUAGGGAAACUUACGCUAAUACCGCAUACGACCUACGGGUGAAGGCAGGGGAUCUUCGGACCUUGCGCGAUUGAAUGAGCCGAUUUCGGAUUAGCUAGUUGGCGGGGUAAAGGCCCACCAAGGCGACGAUCCGUAGCUGGUCUGAGAGGAUGAUCAGCCACACUGGAACUGAGACACGGUCCAGACUCCUACGGGAGGCAGCAGUGGGGAAUAUUGGACAAUGGGCGCAAGCCUGAUCCAGCCAUACCGCGUGGGUGAAGAAGGCCUUCGGGUUGUAAAGCCCUUUUGUUGGGAAAGAAAAGCAGCAGGUUAAUACCCCGCUGUUCUGACGGUACCCAAAGAAUAAGCACCGGCUAACUUCGUG